CCUACGUGAGGCAGCAGUAGGGAAUCUUCCACAAUGGGCGAAAGCCUGAUGGAGCAACGCCACGUGGGUGAAGAAGGUCUUCGGAUCGUAAAACCCUGUUGUUAGAGAAGAAAGUGCGUGAGAGUAACUGUUCACGUUUCGACGGUAUCUAACCAGAAAGCCACGGCUAACUACGUGCCAGCAGCCGCGGUAAUACGUAGGUGGCAAGCGUUAUCCGGAUUUAUUGGGCGUAAAGGGAACGCAGGCGGUCUUUUAAGUCUGAUGUGAAAGCCUUCGGCUUAACCGGAGUAGUGCAUUGGAAACUGGGAGACUUGAGUGCAGAAGAGGAGAGUGGAACUCCAUGUGUAGCGGUGAAAUGCGUAGAUAUAUGGAAGAACACCAGUGGCGAAAGCGGCUCUCUGGUCUGUAACUGACGCUGAGGUUCGAAAGCGUGGGUAGCAAACAGGAUUAGAUACCCUUGUAGUC
This 465-nucleotide ribosomal RNA is filed under the name uncultured bacterium. RNAcentral's name for it is "partial 16S ribosomal RNA". It matches the Rfam family "Bacterial small subunit ribosomal RNA", at positions 338 to 795 of the family's 1533-position model. The record is from RNAcentral.